ACCCUCAACUCGAAUGCAAGUCGUGCGGUGUUCCACGGCCGAGGAGACUGUUUGACCCUCUAGCGAGCGCCUCUUGCGGAGUGCUUGCCACGACCGCGACCCCAGGUCA
RNAcentral lists this ribosomal RNA (109 nucleotides) under Hancornia speciosa. Its description in RNAcentral is "partial 26S ribosomal RNA". Lineage: Eukaryota; Viridiplantae; Streptophyta; Magnoliopsida; Gentianales; Apocynaceae. The record is from RNAcentral.